RNAcentral lists this small RNA (177 nucleotides) under Indolivaga capnocytophagoides. RNAcentral describes it as "Bacteroidales-1 6S-Bacteroidales RNA suggested". It matches the Rfam family "Bacteroidales-1 6S-Bacteroidales RNA suggested". Lineage: Bacteria; Pseudomonadati; Bacteroidota; Bacteroidia; Bacteroidales; Dysgonomonadaceae. The record is from RNAcentral.
UCGUACUGGUCGAUUAGGAAACUCAUCAAUGAAUAGAUAAAUUCCGAGACAAGCUUACCGUUACCAAUGGCGGGUCACACCUUUCGGGGUUGCUUCAGGGCACAGUGAAUUACAAAGGAGCGGAGCACUCAAAUCCUGUUACACGGAGUUUCGUCUUUAUCUUUCAGUACGAUUUUA